RNAcentral lists this long non-coding RNA (232 nucleotides) under Prunus persica (peach). RNAcentral's name for it is "long non-coding RNA (PPER_LNC004855)". The record is from RNAcentral. Lineage: Eukaryota; Viridiplantae; Streptophyta; Magnoliopsida; Rosales; Rosaceae.
UAUAAAUAGAUAGUUUAUGUUGCUUGGGCACAAUCGGGCUGGCAAGGUGAGCGUUUGAUGAAAUGACUGUUAAAGAUGUGGUUUCUUGGAGCUGUAUGAUUGCAGGAUAUGUAGCUUGAUGUGUGCCUUAUUUGUCUCGCCUGCCACCAGUAGAAGCAAGGUAGCCCCCUAUAUUGGUUGCCCAUUUCCCCUUUAUCUAAUAACGGACGACCAAUGAAGUAACAGACACCCG